Molecule: long non-coding RNA, 635 nt
Organism: Mauremys mutica (yellowpond turtle)
Lineage: Eukaryota; Metazoa; Chordata; Testudines; Geoemydidae
Exons: 3
Source: RefSeq, a predicted model, not a curated record
ACCCUCAUUGACCUGCUUGUCUUCACCUAAAGCCUCCUCCUAACUGAUUUUAGCAGGAAGAUGGAGGACACUUGGCAUGCCCAAUAAUUAAUGUUUCCAAAGAUCAUGGCAAAGGUCAGAGCAAGGGUCAUCUGAUUUCUUUCAAAUGCUUGCCUCCCAUGGAAAAUUAGGGGAUUUGCAUUUCUGUGACUGGUUGUAAUUGGAAGUGAAGACACUUGGUGUGCUACAAGCAAAUGAGAUGGUGCUGCAAGAUUUGCCUCUUCACCAAAACAUUUGGAGAAGAAGUGAAAUCCCACCCAGCAUCUUGGAAAAUCAAGUAAACUAAGAAUACCAAUGCAUAUGAAGUAUACAACAAAAUAGUAUGGUAUCAGCGUUUGGUCCUUAUUAUUGAUCCUGGGAUGGAUUUGAACCAGUGACUGAGAUGGAAGGAUCCUGCCACCAGUGUCCUGAAACAACAUCCCCUCCCUAUUGUCACCAAUGCAAGACUUGACAUGAAGGAUGUCAAAAUUGUCAAAGAUGACCGGCGCGAGCCCUACUGGUGGCAAAGGAGAGGAACUGAAAUUACAUGAAGGGUAGCCCAGUUCUUCCUUCUCAUUGGAAGUCUUCUACAAGCAGGCUUGUUGACUGUGUGAAUG